CAAGUUAUUGGAAGUGCUUCGGAGCCAAUUAUGGAAUUUCGGAGCGAGGUAAGUCUCCUUUCUCACCUUGUAAGAGAGAAUUAACUCCAUAGGUGAAAUAACUCAAUAUGUGCUUCUAUUUGUGGGGGCUACGUGCGCACGAGGUGAUGAGAGUCCGUGCGUAACUACUAUUAUGCUUAAGUCCGGGUAGUCUAGGACCCAAAUCAUGCUAUAUUUAUAACGUUUGCAACCUUAUUGUUAAUCUAAAUUUAUUAAAUCAUAUCGAACUUGGUGAAGGAAUAUUUUAAAAAAAGAGGAUAAACUUCGUUUUCUUGACUGUUAAAUGAGAAUUUGGCAUUUCCUUGAAUAAUUGCUCCUUAAUAAAAUUCUUGAUUUGGUUGUUUGAAUGUGUUUUUCUUUUGUGGAGAGGGUCGAACGCUUCGGCAGAUUAUAUAGAUGCAUCUAUGGUUCAUGUCGUUCGACCCUCAACAGUGCAUAGCUUAUAUUUAUAUGUUGGAUCGUGUCAUACGACCUCGACAUGAUUUGCGCAUGAUUUAAUUGAUUGCUUUGAAAUUUAUAAUAAAUGAUAUUGCCUCAUUGGCCUGAGAUAAAUUGUUAAAUGAUGAGGAAUAAAUUUGGAGAUUUCUUAAUUAUAAAAGAAUUGCUUACCACUUCAUAAUAUUGAGGUUACAGUCGUUCUAUAUAAUCCAUGUUUAAAUUAUAUCAUUGGCAUUUUAUUUAUAGCUCAUAGUAAGUGUCGGAGUCGACCCCUCAUUACUACUUCUUAGAGGUUAGAUUGGAUAUUUACUAGAUACACGUUGUUUACCUACUCAUACUACAUUUGCUGCACAUUUUGUUGUGCAGGAUCAUAUAUAUUUAGUGGCCUUGUAGGCGCAACGGCAUGGUUAAAUGCGGGGACUUAGGUGAGCUGCAUUCCAUAUUACGACCCACAGCCAGCAGAGUCUCCUUCAGAGUAUUUAUAUUUUCUCCCCUGUCCAAAUUUGUAUUCUCGACAAAUGGUGUAUUUUAUUUUAUUUCCUAGUUGAUGCUCAUGCACUUGUGACACAAUAUUUUUGGGUGAUUAUGG
Molecule: long non-coding RNA, 1066 nt
Filed under: Nicotiana tabacum (common tobacco)
Lineage: Eukaryota; Viridiplantae; Streptophyta; Magnoliopsida; Solanales; Solanaceae
Description: long non-coding RNA (NTAB_LNC000083)
Source: RNAcentral